CCUACGGGAGGCAGCAGUGGGGAAUAUUGGACAAUGGGGGGAACCCUGAUCCAGCCAUGCCGCGUGUGUGAAGAAGGCCCUCGGGUUGUAAAGCACUUUCAGUGAGGAAGAACGCCUGGUGGUUAAUACCCAUCAGGAAAGACAUCACUCACAGAAGAAGCACCGGCUAACUCCGUGCCAGCAGCCGCGGUAAUACGGAGGGUGCGAGCGUUAAUCGGAAUUACUGGGCGUAAAGCGCGCGUAGGUGGCUUGAUAAGCCGGUUGUGAAAGCCCCGGGCUCAACCUGGGAACGGCAUCCGGAACUGUCAAGCUAGAGUGCAGGAGAGGAAGGUAGAAUUCCCGGUGUAGCGGUGAAAUGCGUAGAGAUCGGGAGGAAUACCAGUGGCGAAGGCGGCCUUCUGGUCUGACACUGACACUGAGGUGCGAAAGCGUGGGUAGCAAACAGGAUUAGAUACCCCGGUAGUC
This 465-nucleotide ribosomal RNA is filed under the name Vreelandella stevensii. RNAcentral's name for it is "partial 16S ribosomal RNA". It matches the Rfam family "Bacterial small subunit ribosomal RNA", at positions 338 to 795 of the family's 1533-position model. Lineage: Bacteria; Pseudomonadati; Pseudomonadota; Gammaproteobacteria; Oceanospirillales; Halomonadaceae. The record is from RNAcentral.